Molecule: long non-coding RNA, 1027 nt
Organism: Eupeodes corollae
Lineage: Eukaryota; Metazoa; Arthropoda; Insecta; Diptera; Syrphidae
Exons: 3
Source: RefSeq, a predicted model, not a curated record
UCAUCCGAUCCACCUAUCCAUACAUAUACCCCCAACCAACAUCAUCACACUCAAAUAGUGGGAAACCACGUAGGUAUUAGAACACUUCCAACAGAAUAGGGGUAUCGGUGUCCCAAGAACUAAGGGUGUGUUCCACGGUCGAAAUCGGAGAGACCUGUAACACCGAACCACAUGAAACCAGAACAUUUAAAAAAAAUCCAUACACAUAAUGACAAAGUAACCACAAAACGUAUGAAUACGAAUCACCUAACCACUGCAAUGACAUGCAUUAAACGUCAAUACUGAAAACUAAACACGGACAUAAAACAAAGUUUCAUUCACAUGCAACUUAACAAUUCAACCAACUUAAACGACAAUACACCAAACCCAGAUCUCUUCCGGAACGCACCCAUUGCUUUCCCAUGGAAUUUCUCUCCACUGAGUUAUGGAGAGUUUCCAUGGAGACCAACAAUGAGGCAAGUGACAGCUACAACACAAAAUAAACAACAUCCAACGAGUCAACAAGUUUUGGGUAAGUAUGAGAUUUAUUUGUUUCUUAUUUAACUAUUCUUUUUUUUAUUUUACCACCUUAGGAUUGAGGAUGCGGUUAAUGGAAGGCAUCCACAACAAAAUUUGCUGUUUAUUGAGAUAUACUCUCAAUAAAAAGCAAAAAACAAGGAUUCUGGAUGCCUGGGAAGUGGAAUGGGACUCGGAUGUAGGCGAGGAACUGGAGGUACAAGGGAUGCUGAGAUGGAUUAAGGGAGUUUUUUGAUAAUUGUGGGGAAAAACCCACGAUUUAGGCCGGGCAAACUUUUGUACUACCAUUAAGUAGAGGAUUUUGUUGAAACCCCCAUCUGCUGGAGCGUCUGGUGUACCAAAGUUAAGGAUGCUGGGAGGUACACUUCUAGAUAUGUGGAUCGGAGGUGCUCGUCAGAGAUUUGCGAGAAAAGCCGAGCUAGUACCUAUGUCUUCUAUUAAGCCUAAAGUGUAUACAAAAAAACUAUCUACCUAUAUUUAAUUGGGAGUACCUACUAAUUUAAAUGUAUUU